This 253-nucleotide ribosomal RNA is filed under the name uncultured bacterium. RNAcentral describes it as "partial 16S ribosomal RNA". It matches the Rfam family "Bacterial small subunit ribosomal RNA", at positions 524 to 776 of the family's 1533-position model. The record is from RNAcentral.
UACGUAGGGGGCAAGCGUUGUCCGGAUUUAUUGGGCGUAAAGAGCGUGUAGGCGGCCAGACAGGUCAGCUGUGAAAACUCGAGGCUCAACCUCGAGACGUCGGUUGAAACCGUCUGGCUAGAGUCCGGAAGAGGAGAGUGGAAUUCCCGGUGUAGCGGUGAAAUGCGCAGAUAUCGGGAAGAACACCCGUGGCGAAGGCGGCUCUCUGGGACGGUACUGACGCUGAGGUGCGAAAGCGUGGGGAGCAAACAGG